RNAcentral lists this long non-coding RNA (299 nucleotides) under Ananas comosus (pineapple). Its description in RNAcentral is "long non-coding RNA (ACOM_LNC020433)". The record is from RNAcentral. Lineage: Eukaryota; Viridiplantae; Streptophyta; Magnoliopsida; Poales; Bromeliaceae.
CCCAAAUGGGACAGUAAAUAGGAACAAAAACAUAUAAAAAAAUAUAACCCAUACCGAAUCCGCUCCGAUCUGCCAAGUAAAUAGAGCGGAAGGUGGGAGAUCCUUUUCUUCUUUCAAUCCGUUCCAAUCUAUCGAAAAUUCGCUCUCGCCCCGAUCCAUCUCAAAUGAGACAGUAAGUGGGAGCAAAAAAUAAAAUAAAAAAUAGCCCGCUCCAAAUCCGUCCCGUCCCGUCCCGACAAGAAAUAGAGCGUCAAGUAGGAGAACCCUCCCGCCCCCGGAUCCGCCCUGCUUGCAUCCCU